RNAcentral lists this long non-coding RNA (488 nucleotides) under Phoenix dactylifera (date palm). Its description in RNAcentral is "long non-coding RNA (PDAC_LNC022126)". Lineage: Eukaryota; Viridiplantae; Streptophyta; Magnoliopsida; Arecales; Arecaceae. The record is from RNAcentral.
UCUUUAUUAAUAAAAUUAAUUAAUUAAUGUUUUAUCUGUGUCUGAGUGCAUGUAAUUCAAAAGACCCAAUAAUGCUGGAUUUUAGCGCAAUGCCCGGUAGUUCGAGCUCAACGAAUUCCCCAGUGUCCGUGAUGAGGCGACUCAACAGUUUCUAACAUAAAAUUUCCAUGUAUCCACAUCAAUGAGCUGAAGCAAGUGAUUUCCCAACAUCUUCAAGUGUCCCUGUGCCGUCUCGAAAGUCCCAAAGCAAUUCAAUUGCUUCUCAAACCUAGUAUCCGUUUGGUAUCAACUUCCCAAUGUUUAAGUCCUCCAACCGACCGUGGCAACAUUCAAUUUCCUCUGUUUUGGAACAAAUCCAGCACUCAGCUCUUCAAUUAAAGCCACAUCUCAUUCAUGGCUUCCGUCUCCCCUGUUUCAAGAACAUUCAAGCCGUAUUCAACAUCCGAUUGUUUCAUCUUCAAAUUCCCUCCCCACAAUUCCAAACUUCC